GAAGAAGAAAAGACUUGAGGCGCAAGAAACCUAAGAGUGAAGAAGAAGAUUACUCUCUUCUCUCUCUACAAGAACAAGAAAAGAAACAAGGGAGUAAAGAGACUGUGUGUGCUUGUGUAAUGGGUCUGGUUUGUUCUUCGUUGGUCACUAAAGAGACUCGGCUAUACAAUGUUUGAAAAGGAAGAGAUUAUAUGAGCAACAAGUUGAACAGCUUGGCAACUUCCAGCUCCGUAUCCAUGAUCAAAUGAUUAUGUUGGAAGGUGCCAAAGCAACAACAGAGACUGUAGAUGCUUUGAGGACUGGUGCUGCUACUAUGAAAGCUAUGCAGAGAGCUGCGUACGUGUUUUAUAUAUAUACCUAACCUCUUUUUUAUUUAUUUAAGCAGCAGACUAAGUGUGCGAUGUGUGUUUUGGCAGAAACAUUGACGAUGUUGACAAGACGAUGGAUGAGAUCAAUGAGCAAACCGAUAACAUGAAACAGAUCCAGGACGCAUUGUCUGCUCCCUUUGGCUCUGCUGCUGAUUUC
This is a long non-coding RNA of Brassica oleracea var. oleracea, 525 nucleotides long. RefSeq lists it as uncharacterized. The record is from RefSeq and is a predicted model, not a curated record. Lineage: Eukaryota; Viridiplantae; Streptophyta; Magnoliopsida; Brassicales; Brassicaceae. The transcript is spliced from 3 exons.